UACGUAGGGUGCAAGCGUUAAUCGGAAUUACUGGGCGUAAAGCGUGCGCAGGCGGUGCUGUAAGACAGUUGUGAAAUCCCCGGGCUCAACCUGGGAACUGCAUCUGUGACUGCAUUGCUGGAGUGCGGCAGAGGGGGAUGGAAUUCCGCGUGUAGCAGUGAAAUGCGUAGAUAUGCGGAGGAACACCGAUGGCGAAGGCAAUCCCCUGGGCCUGCACUGACGCUCAGGCACGAAAGCGUGGGGAGCAAACAGG
RNAcentral lists this ribosomal RNA (253 nucleotides) under uncultured bacterium. RNAcentral's name for it is "partial 16S ribosomal RNA". It matches the Rfam family "Bacterial small subunit ribosomal RNA", at positions 524 to 776 of the family's 1533-position model. The record is from RNAcentral.